AUCUCCUCUGUGAUCAUACUGCACUUUCUCCAAGUGCGUGUGCAGUAGUAUACCUCACACACAGGCGGCUUACUUCCCGCCAAGAACACUUGCUAGCCCUAUCCAGAGAAUCAGGGAGAGACGGGAAGAAAUGGACAGAAGAUAGCUGCCAUUCUGAAUUUGUACAGCCAGGGAACAUCCCAAGACCCAGCAGCCAUCAGGAGACCAGCAGCCAUCAUCUCAGUCAUUGAUGACGAUGGAGAUGUAGCUGCUGUGCCAGUCCAUCCAGGAAGAGUCUACGUGGUCCUUGAGGAGAACGUGGUUAUGAAGGAUUUCCGGUGCUGGCCUGAUGCAUUUGUAUGGUUGUACGGGCUAAUGUACUCACUCCAACCUGGAUACCCGAUUUGCACGAAGAACACGUUUGGGUUUAUACAAAAAGUGUUGUUAAACUUGGAUGGAGACAGAAUGAAGCCAAAGGUCCUUGCUUUGAAAAACCAACUGUAAAAUACCAAUACCAAAAAACAUUUAUGGUGCUAAACAAUUGUAAAUAGCUACGUUAUCCUAUAAGGAAAAGAGAUUUAGGGAUAAAAAUUGAAAAAACAACUGAAGACUAAAUGUUUUGUAGGCAAAUGGCAAGUAAAAUGUCUGCCUGCAUUUGAUUUGAUCUGUGCCUGUAGUCAAACUGAUCACAAAAAUGAGAAAGUCAUGCAAUGCUAUUGGCCUUUAAUCUUAACAUGUACAGAGAUACAAGAGUAACUUGACUUCCGUUGGUGUAGAGUUUAAUUGAAAGUGUUACUGUUUGGGAAAUCUGAACAUUGACAUUGUGAAGUUACCUUACAAAUCCUUGUAUAUAGGAAGCUUUAGAGGCAUUGGCCACAAAUCUCACAUUGCUGACGUCAUCAUAUGAAAAAUGGCCGAGGUCCCAGAAGAUGAAAAUGGAAAGGGAAUCUUCAUGGAGUUGUAAGGAGUGGUCGUUUGCAUACCUGUGUAGUGUUGUUGACCGGUACAUAUAAGAACGUUGGGGAAACAACGUUCACACACUGUCUACUUGCAUUUAGAACGUUUAUUGUCAGUUUAAUAAUGAUUCGGCGUAACACCUUAGUCAGGAAUGAAGGUUUAGGACCGAAACAUUGCGUGCUUAAGUACAUUUUAUAAUCUGUAAGUAUUACUUUGUUUGGUAAACAUAAUGCAGUGAAAAUCGUUGUGGAGGAAGAAAUGUAAAUUGUCAACAUUAAUCUUCAUUUUAAACAGUUGAAUGUAGUCAAGUUGUUAGACUGAAAUGGAUGUCGGCACAUCACUACCUCGUUAUUUACAUUUUAAAACCUUCAGCGCAGCUUUUAGUUGCGUGGAAGCUACCACAUCAGUUGAAAGUGUUAAUUAGAGAAGGAAGGGUCAUUAUACUGUGUUUAUGUUUUAAUAGUUAAGUUGUUGAUGGGGAAUGUUGCAGUGUUACACAAUAUUGAAUCGAUUGAAAGUUGGAGGUUUGUUAUCUGAGUCUUUUAAAUGUUCUGUUCAAAUGAGUCAUGCUGUACAGAAAUGGAAUUCAUCUAUUGAUGGAUGCUAAAAUAGAUGAAUCAUGUUUGGUGCAUUCAUGUAAUUAGAGAUGUGUGUUUCUGAAGACGCAGUGUUAAAACACUGUUUUAUGUUUAACUUACUCAAAAGUUGUUUGCAAACUUGAACAUGUUGAUUCGGUAUUUGUUGAAUGCACUCCAAAGAAUAGAAUAACUAAAGUAAUUAAUUACAGUGAUACAACAUGAAUGAUUUAAGUUAUUAAUCAAGUGAUAUUAACAUAUACAAUAGUAAUAUUACUUGGAAUUGUAAGUAAGUUGUGCCAAAGUUACACAGUUUGGAUACUUAAACAAUUUAAUUCACUGUGACAUGAUAGAAUCAAGUUAAGUGACAAGUUGUUAUGGCUUUAAUGUUUUGAGUACAAACAUAACUUUACAACUAAAGUUAUUGUAGGGAGUAAAAGUAAGUUAAUGGACAGACAUAUUUUAAGUAUUCUGUACUCAAAAAAAUAUACUUCAACAUGUUGCCCAGACUCCAAAUAUUUACUAGAUCUAGGUCAAACUACUAUGUUUAGGUAACUCUUAAAAUUACCAUUAGUGGACAGAAAUUAUUUAAGUGUGUGUUACACUACAAAUCUACUUCAUUAGCAAACUAUGUUGAGUACAAUGUACUUAAAAUAUUUCUCUACUUACUAAAACGUUUUGUGUUUAAUCAACUUUAAAUUGUGGCCCAUUUGGGAUGAUGUGAUACUUUUAGUUUGAGUAAAGCCAGCUCUAACGUUGUAAGUAACUGUACUCUAGAAUACUAGUGCAGCGGGGUUCCACAAGACUGUAGAGUAAUGAUAACUAAUAUGGGUUUACAGUGCAGCCGCCCUUCAUUCACACAAUAGUCCAUGACCCUAAACCAUCCGUUCCCCAUCGGUCAAUGCCCAUCUCUAUAUUACCUAAAUAUUGAUGUUAAGAAUUUUGUGGUGGAACUGUC
Molecule: non-coding RNA, 2469 nt
Organism: Salmo salar (Atlantic salmon)
Lineage: Eukaryota; Metazoa; Chordata; Actinopteri; Salmoniformes; Salmonidae
Source: RefSeq, a predicted model, not a curated record